This 494-nucleotide ribosomal RNA is filed under the name uncultured bacterium. Its description in RNAcentral is "partial 16S ribosomal RNA". It matches the Rfam family "Bacterial small subunit ribosomal RNA", at positions 28 to 507 of the family's 1533-position model. The record is from RNAcentral.
GACGAACGCUGGCGGCGUGCUUAACACAUGCAAGUCGAACGGAAAGGCCUGCUUUCCCUUGUGGAUUGCGGGUACUCGAGUGGCGAACGGGUGAGUAACACGUGAGUGAUCUGCCCCCAACUUGGGUAUAAGCCUGGGAAACUGGGUCUAAUUCCCGAUAGGACUGCAGGGUGGUGCCUGUGGUGGAAAACGAUUUUCUAGUGGUUGGGGAUGAGCUCGCGGCCUAUCAGCUUGUUGGUGGGGUAAUGGCCUACCAAGGCGGCGACGGGUAGCCGGCCUGAGAGGGUGGACGGCCACAUUGGGACUGAGAUACGGCCCAGACUCCUACGGGAGGCAGCAGUGGGGAAUAUUGCACAAUGGGCGGAAGCCUGAUGCAGCGACGCCGCGUGGGGGAUGACGGCAUUCGGGUGGUAAACUCCUUUGGACCGCGAGGAAGAAACCUGGUUGGAAGGGUGGUGACGGUAGUGGUAGAAGAAGCACCGGCUAACUACGUG